AAAGCCUCGUGCUCAACGCGAGGAAGCCGGACAAUACUGUCAAGCUAGAGGGCAUCAGAGGGGAGUGGAAUUCCCGGAGUAGCGGUAAAAUGCGCAGAUAUCGGGAGGAACACCGAUGGCGAAGGCAGCUCCCUGGGGUGUACCUGACGCUGAGGGGCGAAAGCUAGGGGAGCGAACAGGAUUAGAGACCCUGGUAGUCCUAGCUGUAAACGCUGGGUGCUAGGUGUGGGGCGUAGAAGCUCUGUGCCGCAGCAAACGCGAUAAGCAUCCCGCCUGGGAAUUACGGUCGCAAGGCUAAAACUCAAACGAAUUGACGGGGCCCCGCACAAGCAGCGGAGCGUGUGGUUCAAUUCGAUGCUACACGAAGAACCUUACCUGGGUUUGACAUGUACGUGGUAGAGAAGCGAAAGCGGAUUGACCCUUCGGGGAGCGUACACAGGUGCUGCAUGGCUGUCGUCAGCUCGUGCCGUGAGGUGUCGGGUUAAGUCCCGUAACGAGCGCAACCCUUGCCCUUAGUUACAAGUGUCUAGGGGGACUGCCGGCGGGAAGCCGGAGGAAGGUGGGGAUGACGUCAAGUCAGCAUGGCCCAUAUGUCCAGGGCUACACACACGCUACAAUGGUCGGUACAAAGGGUAGCGAAGCCGCGAGGCGGAGCGAAUCUCAUCAAAGCCGGUCGUAGUUCGGAUUGCAGGCUGCAACCCGCCUGCAUGAAGCUGGAGUUGCUAGUAACCGCGCGUCAGCCAUAGUGCGGUGAAUACGUACCCGGGGCUUGUACACACCGCCCGUCACGUCAUGGGAGUCGGUAACGCCUGAAGCCGGUAGUCUAGCCUGCAAGGGGGGACGCUGUCGAAGGCGGGACUGGCAACUGGGACGAAGUC
Molecule: ribosomal RNA, 878 nt
Filed under: uncultured organism
Description: bacterial SSU rRNA
Rfam family: Bacterial small subunit ribosomal RNA
Source: RNAcentral